This 253-nucleotide ribosomal RNA is filed under the name uncultured bacterium. RNAcentral's name for it is "partial 16S ribosomal RNA". It matches the Rfam family "Bacterial small subunit ribosomal RNA", at positions 524 to 776 of the family's 1533-position model. The record is from RNAcentral.
UACGUAGGGGGCAAGCGUUGUCCGGAUUUAUUGGGCGUAAAGAGCGUGUAGGCGGCCAUUCAGGUCAGCUGUGAAAACUCGAGGCUCAACCUCGAGACGUCGGUUGAAACCGUUUGGCUAGAGUCCGGAAGAGGAGAGUGGAAUUCCCGGUGUAGCGGUGAAAUGCGCAGAUAUCGGGAAGAACACCCGUGGCGAAGGCGGCUCCCUGGGACGGUACUGACGCUGAGACGCGAAAGCGUGGGGAGCGAACAGG